CCUACGGGUGGCAGCAGUGGGGAAUAUUGCACAAUGGGCGCAAGCCUGAUGCAGCCAUGCCGCGUGUGUGAAGAAGGCCUUCGGGUUGUAAAGCACUUUCAGCGGGGAGGAAGGCGUUAAGGUUAAUAACCUUGUCGAUUGACGUUACCCGCAGAAGAAGCACCGGCUAACUCCGUGCCUGCAGCCGCGGUAAUACGGAGGGUGCAAGCGUUAAUCGGAAUUACCGGGCGUAAAGCGCACGCAGGCGGUCUGUCAAGUCGGAUGUGAAAUCCCCGGGCUCAACCUGGGAACUGCAUUCGAAACUGGCAGGCUAGAGUCUUGUAGAGGGGGGUAGAAUUCCAGGGGUAGCGGUGAAAUGCGUAGAGAUCUGGAGGAAUACCGGUGGCGAAGGCGGCCCCCUGGACAAAGACGGACGCUCAGGUGCGAAAGCGUGGGGAGCAAACAGGAUUAGAGACCCGAUGUAGUC
Molecule: ribosomal RNA, 466 nt
Filed under: uncultured Klebsiella sp.
Lineage: Bacteria; Pseudomonadati; Pseudomonadota; Gammaproteobacteria; Enterobacterales; Enterobacteriaceae
Description: bacterial SSU rRNA
Rfam family: Bacterial small subunit ribosomal RNA
Source: RNAcentral